CCCUUCGGAACACAAUACCCUCGGGAAACUGAGGCUAAUAGUGUAUACCACAGUCCACCUGGAAUGAGGACUGUGCCAAACGCUCCGGCGCCGAAGGAUGUGGCUGCGGCCGAUUAGGUAGACGGUGGGGUAACGGCCCACCGUGCCAAUAAUCGGUACGGGUCAUGAGAGUGAGAACCCGGAGACGGAAUCUGAGACAAGAUUCCGGGCCCUACGGGGCGCAGCAGGCGCGAAACCUUUACACUGCACGACAGUGCGAUAAGGGAAUCCCAAGUGCGUAGGCAUAGAGCCUACGCUUUUGUCCACCCUAGGGCGGUGGACGAAUAAGGGCUGGGCAAGACCGGUGCCAGCCGCCGCGGUAAUACCGGCAGCCCAAGUGAUGGCCGAUUUUAUUGGGCCUAAAGCGUCCGUAGCUGGCCGCACAAGUCCAUCGGAAAAUCCACCCGCUCAACGGGUGGGCGUCCGGUGGAAACUGUGUGGCUUGGGACCGGAAGGCGCGACGGGUACGUCCGGGGUAGGAGUGAAAUCCCGUAAUCCUGGACGGACCGCCGAUGGCGAAAGCACGUCGCGAGAACGGAUCCGACAGUGAGGGACGAAAGCUAGGGUCUCGAACCGGAUUAGAUACCCGGGUAGUCCUAGCCGUAAACAAUGCCUGCUAGGUGUGGCUCCCAC
Molecule: ribosomal RNA, 672 nt
Filed under: halophilic archaeon
Lineage: Archaea; Methanobacteriati; Methanobacteriota; Halobacteria; Halobacteriales
Description: bacterial SSU rRNA
Rfam family: Archaeal small subunit ribosomal RNA
Source: RNAcentral